RNAcentral lists this ribosomal RNA (581 nucleotides) under uncultured bacterium. RNAcentral describes it as "partial 16S ribosomal RNA". It matches the Rfam family "Bacterial small subunit ribosomal RNA", at positions 365 to 1375 of the family's 1533-position model. The record is from RNAcentral.
UGGGGAAUUGUCGAGGCAAGGCGAACCGCAAGAUGCCGCGUGUGUGAAGAAGGCCUUCGGGUUGUAAAGCACUUUUGUCCGGAAAGAAAUCCUUGGCUCUAAUACAGUCGGGGGGAUGACGGUACCGGAAGAAUAAGCACCGGCUAACUACGUGCCAGCAGCCGCGGUAAUACGUAGGGUGCAAGCGUUAAUCGGAAUUACUGGGCGUAAAGCGUGCGCAGGCGGUUUGCUAAGACCGAUGUGAAAUCCCCGGGCUCAACCUGGGAACUGCAUUGGUGACUGGCAGGCUAGAGUAUGGCAGGAGGGGGGUAGAAUUCCACGUGUAGCAGUGAAAUGCGUAGAGAUGUGGAGGAAUACCGAUGGCGAAGGCAGCCCCCUGGGCCAAUACUGACGCUCAUGCACGAAAGCGUGGGGAGCAAACAGGAUUAGAUACCCUGGUAGUCCACGCCCUAAACGAUGUCAACUAGUUGUUGGGGAUUCAUUUCCUUAGUAACGUAGCUAACGCGUGAAGUUGACCGCCUGGGGAGUACGGUCGCAAGAUUAAAACUUCAAAUGAAUUGACGGGGUCAUAGCUGUUUCCU